GAAGGUUGCUGGUCUCUGCUCCGGUGUUUCCGUUCGUUGGCUCCGUUCGCGGAAAGUCGUCGCUUAGACCGGUGUGACAGAGGAGUUUUUGUGUACGAAGUGAUCGCGAGGAUCGUUGGGUCGAUCCUUGCUCCAGAUCGGUGAGGUGUUCUAUUCUGCAAGCGGAGGCUGCUUCUUCCUAUCUAAGGACUGGUAUCCGGAUUUCGUUGCCGCGCCGCGCCGCGCUGGUUUCGCUCCGUGCUAGCCGCUAAGCAGUGAUUAAUGGACUGGAGCCAUUGAAUUCGGGCCGACCGACGGAAAAUCGGCCGGUAGUGAAAAUUUGGACUGUAGAGAAAGAAAGGGAGAGAAAGAGAGAAGAGAAAGAGAGCGAGAAAGGGAGUAAGGGAAGAAAUAGUGGUACAGGUGAAGAGAGAGAAAAGUGAUUUUAUUCUCCCUUGUGAGUGCAGACGCCCGUUCGUGACGGAAGUUCGAGGACCAUGACGGAGGGCGAGCCCAACGUAAGUGUAAGUGUCCAUACUGUAACUGUAAAUCCAUAUCAAGACAGACAGCAAAGCAGUAUAUUAUUGGUGAGUUGUUCGAUUGAAUUGAAAAAAGAAAAAUAUGAAAACGUAAUCCGCGAAAAUUAGAUUGUGCCGGCAUAGUUAUAAGAAUAAUCUGUGGCGGAAGAGAUAAAUAAGUAUGACUUGAAAUGAAAAUAAAUCCUAUUGUUUUGGCAAAAUACUCCUGAGAACAGGAGUCUUCAAUCGUUGAUUAUUCAGCAAAUGUUGGUUUUCAACUGAGAGAUCUAAUUUUCACAUUCAACUAAU
RNAcentral lists this unclassified non-coding RNA (806 nucleotides) under Acromyrmex echinatior (Panamanian leafcutter ant). RNAcentral describes it as "prolyl endopeptidase FAP-like, transcript variant X4". Lineage: Eukaryota; Metazoa; Arthropoda; Insecta; Hymenoptera; Formicidae. The record is from RNAcentral.